RNAcentral lists this ribosomal RNA (463 nucleotides) under uncultured bacterium. RNAcentral describes it as "partial 16S ribosomal RNA". It matches the Rfam family "Bacterial small subunit ribosomal RNA", at positions 28 to 507 of the family's 1533-position model. The record is from RNAcentral.
GACGAACGCUGGCGGCGUGCUUAACACAUGCAAGUCGAACGGUGAACCUCUUCGGAGGGGCUCUGUGGCGAAGGGGUUAGUAACAGGUGGGCAACUUGCUCCCGGCCUUGGGAUAAGUCCAAGAUGUCGUGGCUAAUACUGGACGUUCACCGCUUCCCGCCUGGGUGGUGGUGGAAAGGGUUUUCGGCUGGGGAUGGGCUCGCGGCGCAACUGCUUGAUGGUGGGGUAGGGGCCUAACAUGGCGGCGACGGGUAGGCGGCAUGAGAGGUGGACCAGCCACAAUGCGACUGAGAGACGGAGCAGUCGGCAACGUGAGGCAGCAGGGGGGAAUAUGGCGCAACGGGCGGGAGCCUGAGGCGGCGACGCCGGGGGGGUGAUGACGUCCUGCGGGUUGUGAACCGCUUUCGGCAGAGACGAAGCGGUAGUGACGGUACCUGCAGAAGAAGCACCGGCUAACUACGUG